UACAAAGGAAUUGACGGGACCCGCACAAGCGGUGGAUGAUGUGGUUAAUUCGAUGCAACGCGAAAAACCUUACCACCUUUGACAUGUACGGAAUCCUUUAGAGAUAGAGGAGUGCUCGAAAGAGAACCGUAACACAGGUGCUGCAUGGCUGUCGUCAGCUCGUGUCGUGAGAUGUUGGGUUAAGUCCCGCAACGAGCGCAACCCUUGUCAUUAGUUGCUACAUUCAGUUGGGCACUCUAAUGAGACUGCCGGUGACAAACCGGAGGAAGGUGGGGAUGACGUCAAGUCCUCAUGGCCCUUAUAGGUGGGGCUACACACGUCAUACAAUGGAUGGUACAAAGGGUCGCCAACCCGCGAGGGGGAGCCAAUCCCAUAAAGCCAUUCGUAGUCCGGAUCGCAGUCUGCAACUCGACUGCGUGAAGUCGGAAUCGCUAGUAAUCGUGGAUCAGAAUGUCACGGUGAAUACGUUCCCGGGUCUU
RNAcentral lists this ribosomal RNA (479 nucleotides) under uncultured Acidovorax sp. Its description in RNAcentral is "bacterial SSU rRNA". It matches the Rfam family "Bacterial small subunit ribosomal RNA", at positions 903 to 1382 of the family's 1533-position model. The record is from RNAcentral. Lineage: Bacteria; Pseudomonadati; Pseudomonadota; Betaproteobacteria; Burkholderiales; Comamonadaceae.